Molecule: small RNA, 28 nt
Filed under: Bombyx mori (domestic silkworm)
Lineage: Eukaryota; Metazoa; Arthropoda; Insecta; Lepidoptera; Bombycidae
Description: ovarian small RNA-31802
Source: RNAcentral
UGACGUAAAUAGUUGUGCUUCUUUCAGU